This 479-nucleotide ribosomal RNA is filed under the name uncultured bacterium. RNAcentral's name for it is "partial 16S ribosomal RNA". It matches the Rfam family "Bacterial small subunit ribosomal RNA", at positions 899 to 1397 of the family's 1533-position model. The record is from RNAcentral.
ACUCAAAUGAAUUGACGGGGGCCCGCACAAGCAGCGGAGCGUGUGGUUUAAUUCGAUGCAACGCGAAGAACCUUACCUGGGCUUGACAUGGCCCUGCAAAGGCUGGAAACAGCCUCCUCCUUCGGGACAGGGUCACAGAUGUUGCAUGGCUGUCGUCAGCUCGUGUCGUGAGAUGUUGGGUUAAGUCCCGCAACGAGCGCAACCCUCGUGACUAGUUGCACUAUCUAGUCAGACUGCCCACUAAAUGGGAGGAAGGUGGGGAUGACGUCAAGUCCGCAUGGCUCUUACGUCCAGGGCUACACACACGCUACAAUGGCCGGUACAGAGCGCGGCAAGCACGCGAGUGCAAGCAAAUCGCCAAAGCCGGCCUCAGUUCGGAUUGCAGGCUGCAACCCGCCUGCAUGAAGUCGGAGUUGCUAGUAACCGCGUGACAGCACAGCGCGGUGAAUGAGUUCCCGGGCCUUGUACACACCGCCCGU